CGAUGAUUAAUACCGAAUGUGUUCGGGUGCUUCAUGGCACCCUCUAUAAAGGCGGGGAUUCUUCGGAACCUGUCGCAAAGAGAUAAGCCCAAGUCCUAUCAGCUUGUUGGUGAGGUAACGGCUCACCAAGGCUUACGGGUAGCGGGUCUGAGAGGAUGAUCCGCCACACUGGGACUGAGACACUGCCCAGACUCCUACGGGAGGCUGCAGUCGAGAAUCAUUGUCAAUGCACGAAAGUGUGAACAUGCGACGCCGCGUGGAGGAAGACGGCCUUUGGGUUGUAAACUCCUGUCAGCAGGGAGUAAGGAUGGAUCACUUAAUACGUGUUCUGUUUGAUAGUACCUGCAGAGGAAGUCACGGCUAACUCUGUGCCAGCAGCCGCGGUAAUACAGAGGUGGCGAACGUUGUUCGGAUUUACUGGGCGUAAAGGGUCCGCAGGCGGAUCGGUGUGUCAGAUGUGAAAGCCCACGGCUUAACCGUGGAAUUGCAUUUGAAACUGCCGGUCUAGAGUACUGGAGGGGAGAAGGGAACACUUGGUGUAGCGGUGAAAUGCGUAGAUAUCAAGUGGAACACCGGUGGCGAAGGCGCUUCUCUGGACAGAUACUGACGCUCAUGGACGAAAGUUAGGGUAGCGAAAGGGAUUGGAUACCCCCGUAGUCCUAACCGUAAACGGUGUGCACUAGACGUGGGAGGCUUUACCCCCUUCCGUGUCUGAGCUAACGCAUUAAGUGCACCGCCUGGAGAGUACGGUCGCAAGAUUAAAACUCAAAGGAAUUGACGGGGACCCGCACAAGCGGUGGAGCAUGCGGCUUAAUUCGAUGCAACGCGAAGAACCUUACCUGAGCUUGAACUGUGGGCAUUAGCUACCUGAAAGGGAUAGUGAUCCUUCUUUGAAGGAACCUACAGAGGUGCUGCAUGGCUGUCGUCAGCUCGUGUCGUGAGAUGUUGGGUUAAGUCCCGCAACGAGCGCAACCCUUACUAUUAGUUGUCAGCGAGUUAAGUCGGAUACUCUAAUGGGACUGCCGGUGACGAGCCGGAGGAAGGUGGGGAUGACGCCAAGUCAGCAUGGCCUUUAUGUUCAGGGCUACACACGUGCUACAAUGGAUGGUACAGAGGGCUGCAAGCCCGCGAGGUGGAGCAAAUCCUUAAAACCAUUCUCAGUUCGGAUUGCAGGCUGCAAUUCGCCUGCAUGAAGCUGGAAUUGCUAGUAAUCGCGAAUCAGCUACGUCGCGGUGAAUGCGUUCUCGGGUCUUGUACACACCGCCCGUCACAUCACGAAAGCUGGUGGCGCCAGAAGUCACUGGUCUAACCUAUUUUUAAUAGGAGGAAGGUGCCGAAGGUGCUGCUAGUGAUUGGGGUGAAGUCGUAACAAGGUA
This 1376-nucleotide ribosomal RNA is filed under the name metagenome. RNAcentral describes it as "bacterial SSU rRNA". It matches the Rfam family "Bacterial small subunit ribosomal RNA", at positions 157 to 1498 of the family's 1533-position model. The record is from RNAcentral.